This 499-nucleotide ribosomal RNA is filed under the name uncultured bacterium. RNAcentral describes it as "bacterial SSU rRNA". It matches the Rfam family "Bacterial small subunit ribosomal RNA", at positions 24 to 518 of the family's 1533-position model. The record is from RNAcentral.
UCAGGAUGAACGCUAGCGACAGGCUAACACAUGCAAGUCGAGGGGCAGCAUAAAAGUAGCAAUACUUGGUGGCGAUCGGCGCACGGGUGAGUAACGCGUAUGCAACCUACCUAUCAGAGGGGAAUAACCCGGCGAAAGUCGGACUAAUACCGCAUAAAACAGGGACACCGCAUGGUGAUAUUUGUUAAAGAAAUUCGCUGAUAGAUGGGCAUGCGUUCCAUUAGGUAGUUGGUGAGGUAACGGCUCACCAAGCCGACGAUGGAUAGGGGAACUGAGAGGUUGGUCCCCCACACUGGUACUGAGACACGGACCAGACUCCUACGGGAGGCAGCAGUGAGGAAUAUUGGUCAAUGGGCGAGAGCCUGAACCAGCCAAGUCGCGUGAAGGAAGAAGGAUCUAUGGUUCGUAAACUUCUUUGCAGGGGAAUAAAGUGCAGGACGUGUCCUGUUUUGUAUGUACCCUGAGAAUAAGGAUCGGCUAACUCCGUGCCAGCCGCCGC